This 235-nucleotide long non-coding RNA is filed under the name Podarcis lilfordi (Lilford's wall lizard). Lineage: Eukaryota; Metazoa; Chordata; Lepidosauria; Squamata; Lacertidae. The record is from RNAcentral.
CCUCUGCCGUCCCCUUCUCCUUGUGCCCUCAAUCUUUCCCAACAUCAGGGUCUUUUCCAGGGAGUCUUCUCUUCUCAUGAGGUGGCCAAAGUAUUGGAGCCUCAGCUUCACGAUCUGUCCUUCCAGUGAGCACUCAGGGCUGAUUUCCUUAAGAAUGGAUGCAUUUGAUCUUCUUGCAGUCCAUGGGACUCUCAAGAGUCUCCUCCAGCACCAUAAUUCAAAAGCAUCAAUUCUU